GGUAACACUGAAUGGAGGACCGAACCGACUUACGUUGAAAAGUGAGCGGAUGAACUGAGGGUAGCGGAGAAAUUCCAAUCGAACCUGGAGAUAGCUGGUUCUCUCCGAAAUAGCUUUAGGGCUAGCCUCAAGUGAUGAUUAUUGGAGGUAGAGCACUGUUUGGACGAGGGGCCCCUCUCGGGUUACCGAAUUCAGACAAACUCCGAAUGCCAAUUAAUUUAACUUGGGAGUCAGAACAUGGGUGAUAAGGUCCGUGUUCGAAAGGGAAACAGCCCAGACCACCAGCUAAGGUCCCAAAAUAUAUGUUAAGUGGAAAAGGAUGUGGCGUUGCCCAGACAACUAGGAUGUUGGCUUAGAAGCAGCCAUCAUUUAAAGAGUGCGUAAUAGCUCACUAGUCGAGUGACACUGCGCCGAAAAUGUACCGGGGCUAAACAUAUUACCGAAGCUGUGGAUUGUCCUUUGGACAAUGGUAGGAGAGCGUUCUAAGGGCGUUGAAGCAUGAUCGUAAGGACAUGUGGAGCGCUUAGAAGUGAGAAUGCCGGUGUGAGUAGCGAAAGACGGGUGAGAAUCCCGUCCACCGAUUGACUAAGGUUUCCAGAGGAAGGCUCGUCCGCUCUGGGUUAGUCGGGUCCUAAGCUGAGGCCGACAGGCGUAGGCGAUGGAUAACAGGUUGAUAUUCCUGUACCACCUAUAAUCGUUUUAAUCGAUGGGGGGACGCAGUAGGAUAGGCGAAGCGUGCGAUUGGAUUGCACGUC
This 755-nucleotide ribosomal RNA is filed under the name Staphylococcus aureus. RNAcentral describes it as "partial 23S ribosomal RNA". It matches the Rfam family "Bacterial large subunit ribosomal RNA", at positions 755 to 1512 of the family's 2925-position model. Lineage: Bacteria; Bacillati; Bacillota; Bacilli; Caryophanales; Staphylococcaceae. The record is from RNAcentral.